CAUGGGAUCCAUGAACAAGAUGCUGGAGUUCCUGGUGAUUGGAGGGCAGGAGCACCCAUCGGAGGAGAGGGCAAAGGAAGCUGAAGAGACGGUGGGGUUCGAC
Polyodon spathula (Mississippi paddlefish) is the source of this 103-nucleotide long non-coding RNA. RefSeq lists it as uncharacterized. The record is from RefSeq and is a predicted model, not a curated record. The transcript is spliced from 3 exons. Lineage: Eukaryota; Metazoa; Chordata; Actinopteri; Acipenseriformes; Polyodontidae.